Molecule: ribosomal RNA, 569 nt
Filed under: uncultured Gammaproteobacteria bacterium
Lineage: Bacteria; Pseudomonadati; Pseudomonadota; Gammaproteobacteria
Description: bacterial SSU rRNA
Rfam family: Bacterial small subunit ribosomal RNA
Source: RNAcentral
UCGAUUUGGAGUUUGUUGCCCUGAGUGAUGGGCUCCGAAGCUAACGCGAUAAAUCGACCGCCUGGGGAGUACGGCCGCAAGGUUAAAACUCAAAUGAAUUGACGGGGGCCCGCACAAGCGGUGGAGCAUGUGGUUUAAUUCGAUGCAACGCGAAGAACCUUACCUGGUCUUGACAUCCACAGAAUCUUGCAGAGAUGCGAGAGUGCCUUCGGGAACUGUGAGACAGGUGCUGCAUGGCUGUCGUCAGCUCGUGUUGUGAAAUGUUGGGUUAAGUCCCGCAACGAGCGCAACCCUUAUCCUUUGUUGCCAUUGGUUCGGCCGGGAACUCAAAGGAGACUGCCGUUGAUAAAGCGGAGGAAGGUGAGGACGACGUCAAGUCAUCAUGGCCCUUACGACCAGGGCUACACACGUGCUACAAUGGCGUAUACAAAGGGAGGCGACCUCGCGAGAGCAAGCGGACCUCAUAAAGUACGUCUAAGUCCGGAUUGGAGUCUGCAACUCGACUCCAUGAAGUCGGAAUCGCUAGUAAUCGUGAAUCAGAAUGUCACGGUGAAUACGUUCCCGGGCCU